CAAGGUUUUUCAAUAAUGCAGUUACGUACAGCUGUUUCAAGAGAGGUCUAUUGUCUGGCUCUGUAUGAAGGUCUUGAACAGGUUUUGACAAUAGCAGAAUUGGCAUUGCUAGAGGAUCGGGUGAAAGCACAUCUGCAAACAGCGGCAGUGAGGAACACCCGAGGCAUCAUUCGCAGAUAACUUGAUGCACUAGAAGCCUUCAAGAAGGGGAAAUCAAUGAAAGCUGCAUUUGAUGCUAUUGGAGUGGACAGAAAUACAAUUGCAAGAACUACAAUUAUUGCAGAAUUGCAUCUUGCUGCCCCUGAUGUUUUGAAGUCCAUGGGCCAGUGGAACGAUAAAACGGAGACAUUGAGCACAUUUAUUGGUAGAUGUCGUUCUGCACUGACCACUGAAAUUAAAGAAAAAAAAUACUCAAAUGAAAACA
Molecule: long non-coding RNA, 424 nt
Organism: Carassius carassius (crucian carp)
Lineage: Eukaryota; Metazoa; Chordata; Actinopteri; Cypriniformes; Cyprinidae
Exons: 2
Source: RefSeq, a predicted model, not a curated record